CCUCCAUCGUUCACCAGGAGUCUCCUGUCAUUUUGGCAGGAGACCUCGAGUGCAGGACUUGCUGUCCUGUAGCUUUCCUGAGGCUCCUCUGUUACAGGUGCCUGCAAGGCACGACUGCAGCACUCGCUGACUCGGGCCUUUGCUGAGGCAUCUGUCUCAAAUGUGCCCUUGAGGUCAGACAGCAGGAUGGCAGGCAGACUGCUCAGCCUGUUCAAGAGGCUUCGGGGCAAGAAAAGCAAAGGCCCUGCAGCUGCCCCAGCGCAGCAGCCUGCACAGCUGCAGCAGUUGCAGCCACUGCAGGACGGUGAGUGGUGGAGCUGGGCCGCAGGGCCAGUGCCUGCAGCCAUCCUGGCCCCAUCCCAUCCCAUCCCAUCCCAUCCCAUCCCAUCCCAUCCCAUCCCAUCCCAUCCCAUCCCAUCCCAUCCCAUCCCAUCCCUGCGGACAUGCCCAUGGAUGGGAUGGGACAGGGGCCGGGGCUGCCCCCACCGAUGGCCGUGCUCCAUCUCCUGGGCUCCCGGGGGGCUGUCCCUGCCUGGGGAGCGCAGGGCUGGGCUGUGUUCUCCGGCCUCUCCUGCAGCCCCUCAGCUCUGGUUGAGCUCUCUCUUUGCCAGAUGCGGCCAAGGACCAGACUCAAGAGCAGGAACCCACCCGUGGCCACUUCCACCGAGCAGCGCAGGUACCUGCGGCCAUCCCCACUUGGGCCAGGCCUGCUGGCACUGCCCAGCCGAACCCCGCGCUUGGAGCAGACCAUGGAACGUCCCUCUCUUCCCGCCUGUCCUUCUGCUGCAGACACUGCGGAGGUUCCUGUGCCUUCAGCACAAAAACACCAGCGGCCCCACACCUGAGGGCAUGGCCCAGCCUGAAUCCAGGCCCAGUGAGCUGCCGGCAGAGGCUGCUGCCAGCACAGUGUCGUUUGACCUGGCCACCAGCUCUGACUGGGAAAUGGAUGAGGGCUGGGAGGAGGCUGACAUGGCCCUGACAGAGGGCAUGGCAACCACCAACAUCAUCC
RNAcentral lists this long non-coding RNA (1009 nucleotides) under Junco hyemalis (dark-eyed junco). RNAcentral's name for it is "lncRNA (ENSJHYG00000012866.1)". The record is from RNAcentral. Lineage: Eukaryota; Metazoa; Chordata; Aves; Passeriformes; Passerellidae.